Long non-coding RNA from Triticum dicoccoides, 1537 nucleotides. RefSeq lists it as uncharacterized. The record is from RefSeq and is a predicted model, not a curated record. NCBI's taxonomy places the organism in Eukaryota, Viridiplantae, Streptophyta, Magnoliopsida, Poales, Poaceae. The transcript has 3 exons.
UUCUCUCCUCAUCUCGUUGGAUACCUCCACCAGCUCUCAUCUCGUUCGACCCCCACCAGGCUCAUCCAAAUGCGUCAUUUCUCCUGAUUUGCUGCUGGCGAAGAAAGAUGUCGUUGGUACCAGCAGGAAACUAAUUCCUAGCCUAUUCUCUAGCAUGUGGAUCGAGUCUGCCUGCGCGACCACGGGGAGGGCAAGGGAGAACGUGGCGUGCUGCUCAACCUCAUCAUGGCCGCCGGCGAGCUGUCAUAGCUGAGGUGCUGGAUGUGGGUGGAUGCGUUGAUGGAGCUUACGGAGAAGGCUGCACCAAUUUGUGAAUUUCCCAUGGGAACGCAUGCGACGGAGAAUGGUUGGAUCUAAAGGCACAACGGAUGGCACCGUGGCUAUGGUCCAUGAUAUCUAUGGGGUAAUGUAGGCAAGUCUUACACCGCGGACUGCUCAGCACGGUGGUUCUCUUAUUAGCCCAGGCGCUGGAGAAGAGAUAGUCAGAAUGGCGACAUCGGGCUAAUCUAGCCGUAUGUGGAACACUAGAGAGCAUGCGAUCGGCGUUUAUCAUGUUUUUCUAUUAAUAAGUUUGUGAAGCAAGGUAUAUCUGAGCUGAAUGCUACUUAGCAAAAAAUAGCCGUAAAUUAUAACAAUAUGAAGAAAGUAUUCAAAUUGUUCUGGAUUAAGGACAUCAUGGUAAGAUUCACAUGUUAUCAACUUAUCUUGCUAUAUAGCAUUUGCCAAUGCAAAUAUAUUGCAUUUUGUGGAUUCUGCAACUUUAAAAUUGCUAAAUGCGUAAAUAGUCUGCCCAUUGAUCUUUGAUUAGAAAGUUUCUAUCAAAUUCUUCCAGAUAGUAGUAUGAAUUUUUUAAACUUGGGAAAAUGAUUAAAUAUACUUAGUAAUUGUUGUUUGAAAGAAUAAAACAAUUUGCAACUACAUAUAUAAAGAAUAGACUUGUUCUUUGUCAGGAACUCAUGAUCAUAUCUAGGCAGACAAACUCAUUUGUUGUAGGAUUGAUCGAAUCCAAUUCUCAUUACUUUCACUUGAAUGUUCCAGUUUUGUCCCCUUGUCGAUAAGUCGCUCAACUUCUUGUACUCAGAUCUUUUGCUUCAGAAGGAAUGUACAAAUAGUUAUCAAUGGAUGAAGUUACUCUGAAAUUUUUAUCCAUAAUGAUUGAGCUUACUAAGUACAUAAUAAUUGCCAAACUUGGUGAUUUACGUGAGAUAUAGUUGAGCAGGACUUCGUCCGACGCCAAAUUGCUUGUCCUGUGAAGCAGUUGGGCGUGGCUUUGUUUGGUGUCAACUGUUGAGUUCCAUGUCGUGAUUGCCUCGUCAUAUUGGCUGACUUCAAUUUCUUCGGUGGUGUAUUCAUGAUGUAAUUUUUGGAUGGCAUCUACUCUUUCGGGCGUGAGCAUGGAUUGUUGGUUGGAGAUGUUUAUAUGGGUUGUUGUGGCUGACACCAUUGGAGUUCUAAUCAGAUCUGUAAUUUGCAUGCAUAUGUGUGUUUAGAUAUCUGAGCAAGUGAGGUGCGCGUCUUGUUUGAUUGGGUAUGCAUG